AGCGCGGCACAAAGUUUCCUGCGAGCAGCCCCGGGUGGCUGAGGUCCGCCGAGCCGGGUGGCCCAGCCCAGAAGGAGUAGUGGGAGGGUCUUUCCGGGCUCCUGGUGACCCCCUCCACCUACGCGGCGCCGACGUAGAGUGUCAAGCGAACUUUAAAAAGCUGCUGCGAGGGACCUGCGCCGGGAUUUCCACGCUUAGGGACCCGGGAGCGGACGGCUCCGGCCUGAGAGAAAUGCUGGGAGAUCCUUCCCGCCGUUGACCGGCAACUUUCCUACGAGACCGCCGCGGGGAACUGCGCCCUGCCUUCUCUUUUAUUCUCCGCAGCUCAGCCGGCCUUGGCGUCCUGCUCUGCUGGAGUGCUGGGCGCGCUCGCGGCCCGGCAGUGACCGAAUUGAAUCCCCCGCCCGACCCCUGGCGCCUCCGGGCUGAUGUGAGGGUCGCUUUCGGCUGGUCCAUCGCCUCAUUUCCCCGGAGGUGACCGCCCGUCGCCCUUUUCGGUGCGCGCAGCCUGAGGCACCGAAGCCUGCGUUUUGGCUGAGAACUGGUUCUUGGAUGCUGAAGGCUGGGCUCCUCCAGCGUGGGUGCCGAGGCGGCAAUGAGUGUCUUCAAAGUGUGGCUCGGGGUGGCCCUAGCAUUGGCGGAAUUUGUGGUAUUGCCUCAUCAUUCUGAAGGUGCUUGUGUCUAUCAGGGUUCCUUGUUGGCGGUAGGUCAUUCUUCAUGUAUUUGGUUUAUUUCUUUUGAAUGUGAAAUGCUUGGUUGAGGUUACUGAGAGAAUGAAGUGACCCUGUCACUGUGAAAUAUGUUUAUUUUCCUUCACAGUUUGAGGAUUAUCCUUCUUCUUGGCACAAUCAUGCUCAAUUACUUAAUACCUUUUCCAGAGUGAAUUAGUUCCAUUUGGAUACUCAGGUAUUGGAAGAGAAAUACAAACACCUAACACAGUUUGCAUUCCAUGGCUGUCCUGUGCGUUCUCUCAGUCAGAGAGAAAAUUAGAUCCCAUUCUCUUGUCAGAUAUGAACUAGGACACAAUUUGUUUAUCUUCCUGUUGCAUUUACUUCUUCCUUUAAACCCCCCUCCAAAAAAUGUAUGGUUAUUGAGUUACAAUAUGGAGGAUCCCGACUGUUGCUUUGAAUCAAUCGCUUAAGUUUUGGUAAACAACAAAAAAAUUAACAUUUUAUCUAUGAACCUUUGCCAUGUAGAGUAGGAUUGAUUUUGAAUUUAACAUCAGGAUGACUUGGGGGAAAAGCUGAUGCAAGACUCCUGCAUUUCUUUUCAUUAAUAAUGUACUAUGGUGCAUAACAGUGUGUUAAAGCCUUAUUGAAAAGACCGUCUACACUCCAUCAACUCCAAUAAAUGGUGUGACAAGUCAUUCUUUACCACUUUUUUUUUUACUUCAGCUUAAUAAAUGUUGUAAUAAAAGCAGAAGUCAGAUGGUUGGAAAGGGUUUGCUCAUUUGCAUCCUGACCUGCUAUUGACAUGUGUGAUGAUGUAUGUCAUCUUGGAUUAUCUGUAUGGUGUUGAAAUAGAUGAGGGAUAUUUGAAAUAUCUAAAAGUCUAGGUAAUUGUAGAUGUUCACAAUAAUAUUCUUGACUCUGAACUUUAUGUAAUUUAGUUACUGCUCUGGAGAUUUAUGGGUUUCCCCCUUCCUUAUAUUUUUUCUAUUAAAGAAUCAGGCGAAAGCCAUUUUCCACUCUCUUUCCCAUUCCAUGCCCUUAAAGGCCUACUUUCCCAACUGUUUAUUCUUUAAUACAUUUUAGAAAUCAUUUUAAAAUCAAAGUGCUAUAAAGUGUAUCAUCAGUUUUAUGGAGCUGUAGUAGAUAUUAUCGACAUGUUAGUUGUGCAUUUGAAAACAAAGAAAAUUCCUUACUGUAUAGAGUGUGUCAUAGCUUUUUGAUAUAUUUUCAUAGCUAUCAAUCCAUCUGACACACACAAUAGGCUAGUGAAAUAGGCAGGUCACGUAUUAUUUUAUACCCCCC
RNAcentral lists this long non-coding RNA (1973 nucleotides) under Sus scrofa (pig). RNAcentral's name for it is "lncRNA (ENSSSCG00050060271.1)". The record is from RNAcentral. Lineage: Eukaryota; Metazoa; Chordata; Mammalia; Artiodactyla; Suidae.